RNAcentral lists this unclassified non-coding RNA (349 nucleotides) under soil metagenome. RNAcentral's name for it is "partial contains 5.8S ribosomal RNA, internal transcribed spacer 2, and large subunit ribosomal RNA". The stretch from base 1 to 120 matches the Rfam family "5.8S ribosomal RNA", at positions 35 to 154 of the family's 154-position model. The record is from RNAcentral.
GAUGAAGAACGUAGCGAAAUGCGAUAAGUAAUGUGAAUUGCAGAAUUCAGUGAAUCAUCGAAUCUUUGAACGCACAUUGCGCCCGCCAGUAUUCUGGCGGGCAUGCCUGUUCGAGCGUCAUUUCAACCCUCAAGCCCAGCUUGGUGUUGGGGAUCGGCACAGGCGCCCUCGGGCGCCCGCCGUCCCCUAAAUCUAGUGGCGGUCCCGCUGCAGCCUCCUCUGCGUAGUAGUUUUCUCCUCGCAAGGGCAGCUCGGUGGCGACCUCGCCGUAAAACCCCCAACUUCUGAAAGGUUGACCUCGAAUCAGGUAGGAAUACCCGCUGAACUUAAGCAUAUCAAUAACGGAGGA